ACGCGACGGGGUAUUGUAAGUGGC
RNAcentral lists this non-coding RNA (24 nucleotides) under Arabidopsis thaliana (thale cress). Lineage: Eukaryota; Viridiplantae; Streptophyta; Magnoliopsida; Brassicales; Brassicaceae. RNAcentral also lists the same sequence under 1 other name. The record is from RNAcentral.